Molecule: small nucleolar RNA, 103 nt
Organism: Hibiscus syriacus
Lineage: Eukaryota; Viridiplantae; Streptophyta; Magnoliopsida; Malvales; Malvaceae
Source: RefSeq, a predicted model, not a curated record
GAUAGCCAUCUGCUUCUUCGUAUCUUCUCCAGAUAUUAAAUCAGAAUUUAUUGCUUGUGCUUUGCUUUUCAUGGAGUGCAAGUUUGGCUAUUCUUUUACAUCU